GCAAUCGGAUCGGUGGGCUGUGGGUGAGAGCCAUCAAGGAACCCAAACAGGCCUUGACCCUUUAAGAAGGGAGUAAUUUGCUUUCUCCAGAUCAAAAAAUUGGAUGCAUUUAAUUUGAUAGAUAGAAAAUGCUGUGCCGAUGGAAAGAUGAGAGGGGUCGUUGUGUUGGGUGGAGGAGGAGAAGAGGGAUUGGAGGAGGUGGAGAUAGAUGAACUGGUGGCCAUGAGAGAGCACAGAAGGAGGAAGAAGAAGAGAUGCUCGUUGGAGCUUCAAUGCUCUGAUA
RNAcentral lists this long non-coding RNA (283 nucleotides) under Elaeis guineensis (African oil palm). Its description in RNAcentral is "long non-coding RNA (EGUI_LNC070654)". Lineage: Eukaryota; Viridiplantae; Streptophyta; Magnoliopsida; Arecales; Arecaceae. The record is from RNAcentral.